Molecule: non-coding RNA, 411 nt
Organism: Erinaceus europaeus (western European hedgehog)
Lineage: Eukaryota; Metazoa; Chordata; Mammalia; Eulipotyphla; Erinaceidae
Source: the annotation of a RefSeq genome assembly
GCCAUGCGCUCCAGGCUCCUCUGUUGUGUGGUCCUAUGUCUCCUGGGGUCAGGCCAAGUGGAGUCUGAAGUCACUCAAACCCCUAAGCACCUGAUCAAAGCAAGGAGACAGCAGGUGACCUUGAAUUGUUCCUAUGAGUCUGGACACAUUUAUGUGUUCUGGUACCAGCAGAUCCUGAACCAGGGCCCCCAGUUGCUGUUUCUGUAUGGUGAUGGGAAAGAGAUGAACAAAGGAAAUGCCUCUGCCCGGUUCUCGGUCCAGCAGCAGUCCAAUGACCAUCGCUCUGAGCUGACUGUGAGCUCCUUGGAGCCGGAGGACUCAGCCCUGUAUCUCUGUGCCAGCAGCAUGGCACAGCCCUGCGCCAGCAGUAGCCUACAGCACAAAUUUCUUCCUGCCCAGCUCAGGAAGUGA